This 254-nucleotide ribosomal RNA is filed under the name uncultured bacterium. Its description in RNAcentral is "partial 16S ribosomal RNA". It matches the Rfam family "Bacterial small subunit ribosomal RNA", at positions 524 to 776 of the family's 1533-position model. The record is from RNAcentral.
UACGAAAGGUCCAAGCGUUACUCGGAAUUACUGGGCGUAAAGCGCGCGUAGGCGGCUUUGUAUGUCGAUUGUGAAAGCCCCGGGCUCAACCUGGGAACUGCAGUCGAAACUGCAAAGCUUGAAUGUUGGAGAGGUUGGGGGAAUACCUAGUGGAGAAGUGAAAUUCGUAGAGAUUAGGUGGAACACCAGAGGCGAAGGCGCCUGACUGGCCAAACAUUGACGCUGAGGCGCGAAAAGCGUGGGUAGCAAACAGG